Molecule: ribosomal RNA, 253 nt
Filed under: uncultured bacterium
Lineage: Bacteria
Description: partial 16S ribosomal RNA
Rfam family: Bacterial small subunit ribosomal RNA
Source: RNAcentral
UACGAAGGGAGCUAGCGUUGUUCGGAAUUACUGGGCGUAAAGGGCGUGUAGGCGGUAUCAUAAGUCAGAUGUGAAAGCCCCAGGCUUAACCUGGGAGGUGCAUUUGAUACUGUGGAACUAGAGAUCGAGAGAGGAAAGUGGAAUUACGAGUGUAGAGGUGAAAUUCGUAGACAUUCGUAAGAACACCAGUGGCGAAGGCGGCUUUCUGGCUCGAUACUGACGCUAAGGCGCGAAAGCGUGGGGAGCAAACAGG